This 405-nucleotide ribosomal RNA is filed under the name uncultured bacterium. Its description in RNAcentral is "bacterial SSU rRNA". It matches the Rfam family "Bacterial small subunit ribosomal RNA", at positions 362 to 759 of the family's 1533-position model. The record is from RNAcentral.
UUUUGGACAAUGGGCGAAAGCCUGAUCCAGCAAUGCCGCGUGCAGGAAGAAGGCCUUCGGGUUGUAAACUGCUUUUGUACGGAACGAAACGGUUCUUUCUAAUAAAGAGGGCUAAUGACGGUACCGUAAGAAUAAGCACCGGCUAACUACGUGCCAGCAGCCGCGGUAAUACGUAGGGUGCGAGCGUUAAUCGGAAUUACUGGGCGUAAAGCGUGCGCAGGCGGUUUUGUAAGUCAGAUGUGAAAUCCCCGAGCUCAACUUGGGAACUGCGUUUGAAACUACAAGACUAGAAUAUGUCAGAGGGGGGUAGAAUUCCACGUGUAGCAGUGAAAUGCGUAGAGAUGUGGAGGAAUACCAAUGGCGAAGGCAGCCCCCUGGGAUAAUAUUGACGCUCAUGCACGAAAG